Long non-coding RNA from Leopardus geoffroyi (Geoffroy's cat), 903 nucleotides. RefSeq lists it as uncharacterized. The record is from RefSeq and is a predicted model, not a curated record. The transcript is spliced from 2 exons. NCBI's taxonomy places the organism in Eukaryota, Metazoa, Chordata, Mammalia, Carnivora, Felidae.
CUCUGACCCUCCCCCGUUCAAGCUCUGUCUCUCUCUGUCCCCAAAAUAAAUAAACGUUAAAAGAAAAUGUUUAAAAAAAAUAAAGCACUAGCCUAGGAUCCGAAAGCUCAGGUUCUAGUUGCAUCUCUGGCACCAAUUAACUGCGUGGCUUUACCCAAGUCCCCUAACAUCGCUGGUCCUCUAUUUUCUUUUAGUACAAAUUGUUUGGAAGGAUACCCGGUCUGCCUGCCUCACAAGGUUGCUUUAAAAAAAAAAAAAAGGUAUUGCCAAACACAUACAAACUUACAACCAAACUUCCUUAUGUUUUCUUUGUUUUUGAGAAUCCAGGUGAAUUGGCUGUGAAAAUGUAGGGUGUUCAGCACCUGAUCAUCACCAGGAUGCAUAUCACCGGGGCACCCCAGCAGCUGCCGCGGUCCAGCAGGUCCACAUGUGCUAGCUGAGGAAGGCAACACCAAGAGAACGGCCCCGUAGGAACUUCAUUCUCCCCGCUAGGAAAGCUGGGCUCAAGGCCUCCAUGGAGGUGCGGCCAAGCCUUGGCCCCCAGAGCUUCCCCGAAUGCGGGUUUGCAGAGACUAAAUAAGAAGCCCACCCAGACUCGCACUAACCCCCAUCCCACUAGUUCCGGCCUCAGGAAGAGGAAGGGAUCGGAUCUGCAUAACAGUGAAUCACAAGCACUUCGUCACAAUGACCCCUCCAGGAGAGGGUGGAGAAGCUCGUCUGGCAACUGCCUACACAAACGGGGCAAUUCUGAAGAGCAGCAAACAAACCUGUCUACCCCAGUUCCCAUUGUGCAUGAGAUUGCGCUCCACAAAAACAACAUCCAAGGAACACCUGUUGAUCGAUACCAAACGUUAACACUCAGAUUUGGGCCAAGAGACAAUUAAAAAGGUCACUAUGAAGGAA